GGGACCGAAGCUCAAAUGGUUGAGCGCGUGCUUUGCAAGCAUGAGGCUGUCGGUUCGAAUCCGAUCGGUUCCA
Molecule: transfer RNA, 73 nt
Filed under: Reclinomonas americana
Lineage: Eukaryota; Jakobea; Jakobida; Histionidae
Description: tRNA-Ala
Rfam family: tRNA
About the family: Transfer RNA (tRNA) molecules are approximately 80 nucleotides in length.
Source: RNAcentral